CUACGGGAGGCUCCAGUGGGGAAUAUUGCACAACGGGGGAAACCCUGAUGCAGCGACGCCGCGUGAAGGAUGAAGGAUUUCGGUUCGUAAACUUCUAUCAGCAGGGAAGAUAGUGACUGUACCUGACUAAGAAGCCCCGGCUAACUACGUGCCAGCAGCCGCGGUAAUACGUAGGGGGCAAGCGUUAUCCGGAAUUACUGGGUGUAAAGGGUGCGUAGGCGGUCUGUUAAGCCAGAUGUGAAAGCCCGGGGCUCAACCUCGGGACUGCAUUUGGAACUGGCAGACUAGAAUACAGGAGAGGUAAGUGGAAUUCCUAGUGUAGCGGUGAAAUGCGUAGAUAUUAGGAGGAACACCAGUGGCGAAGGCGACUUACUGGACUGUUAUUGACGCUGAGGCACGAAAGCGUGGGGAGCGAACAGGAUUAGAUACCCCCGUAGUC
Molecule: ribosomal RNA, 439 nt
Filed under: uncultured bacterium
Lineage: Bacteria
Description: partial 16S ribosomal RNA
Rfam family: Bacterial small subunit ribosomal RNA
Source: RNAcentral